This is a long non-coding RNA of Lytechinus variegatus (green sea urchin), 148 nucleotides long. RefSeq lists it as uncharacterized. The transcript has 3 exons. The record is from RefSeq and is a predicted model, not a curated record. Lineage: Eukaryota; Metazoa; Echinodermata; Echinoidea; Temnopleuroida; Toxopneustidae.
UGGCUGUUCAUGUGGGACCCGUUGUCCUCAGAUUGCUAGAGCUCCUGUGAGUUAUGUACUGACUGGGUUUACCCCUUAAAUUGUCAGUGAACGGGGCAACUAGAGGGCACUGGGUUCCGCAUGAUGAUGGGCUGAUGGAUUGGUUGGG